GACAAUGGCAGGAAAAAAAUGCUGAAGAUUGAAACAAACCUUGGCUGGAAAUAUUUGAAGGUAUCUAGCCAGUCCACAAUGAAAGCUUCGUUGCACCCCAUGAGUCUUCUGGCAGAAAUGAUGGCGGCUGUAUUCUUUGGUUUCCCUAAACAUCACACCCUGCCUGUUUAAACGAGGCUCUUCAAUUAAGUCUGCACCCAAAGAUUCAAUAAGAGAGGGGAUCCUGCCAGUCCAAAGUGAACUCCUGAUGGACAUUGAAGUACUCCUGCAGAGCUUGUAUCUUCAACACCAUGCGCAUUAGAAACUCCGAGUCCUUUCCUUCACCAAGGCAGGACCCAGUGACUCAUUACUGUUGAUAGGUCAGGGGCAGGUAAUAUUUUGUUUCAUGUUUAUUCAUUCCUCCAUGGAUUACCAGCCAUAUAUAUGGACACAUGCUGUAUUCUCAAGAUCUAUGCUGUUUUGUAGGAAUAGAGAAAAUAAUAUGUUUAGUCUGUUUUCAAAUGGUAUGUCAAAUUUUCUCAUUGUUUAUCAGUAAUAUUCUCUACCUUGGUUGUAUAUGAGCAUCUUUAGAUUUUUCUAUAUUUAGCGGUUGCAAAUGUUAAAUGUAC
Astatotilapia calliptera (eastern happy) is the source of this 608-nucleotide long non-coding RNA. The record is from Ensembl. NCBI's taxonomy places the organism in Eukaryota, Metazoa, Chordata, Actinopteri, Cichliformes, Cichlidae.